This 745-nucleotide ribosomal RNA is filed under the name Rhodococcus sp. 12AAIII. RNAcentral describes it as "bacterial SSU rRNA". It matches the Rfam family "Bacterial small subunit ribosomal RNA", at positions 57 to 821 of the family's 1533-position model. The record is from RNAcentral. Lineage: Bacteria; Bacillati; Actinomycetota; Actinomycetes; Mycobacteriales; Nocardiaceae.
GCAGUCAGCGGUAAGGCCUUUCGGGGUACACGAGCGGCGAACGGGUGAGUAACACGUGGGUGAUCUGCCCUGCACUUCGGGAUAAGCCUGGGAAACUGGGUCUAAUACCGGAUAUGACUUCAGGUUGCAUGACUUGGGGUGGAAAGAUUUAUCGGUGCAGGAUGGGCCCGCGGCCUAUCAGCUUGUUGGUGGGGUAAUGGCCUACCAAGGCGACGACGGGUAGCCGACCUGAGAGGGUGACCGGCCACACUGGGACUGAGACACGGCCCAGACUCCUACGGGAGGCAGCAGUGGGGAAUAUUGCACAAUGGGCGAAAGCCUGAUGCAGCGACGCCGCGUGAGGGAUGACGGCCUUCGGGUUGUAAACCUCUUUCAGCAGGGACGAAGCGCAAGUGACGGUACCUGCAGAAGAAGCACCGGCUAACUACGUGCCAGCAGCCGCGGUAAUACGUAGGGUGCAAGCGUUGUCCGGAAUUACUGGGCGUAAAGAGUUCGUAGGCGGUUUGUCGCGUCGUUUGUGAAAACCAGCAGCUCAACUGCUGGCUUGCAGGCGAUACGGGCAGACUUGAGUACUGCAGGGGAGACUGGAAUUCCUGGUGUAGCGGUGAAAUGCGCAGAUAUCAGGAGGAACACCGGUGGCGAAGGCGGGUCUCUGGGCAGUAACUGACGCUGAGGAACGAAAGCGUGGGUAGCGAACAGGAUUAGAUACCCUGGUAGUCCACGCCGUAAACGGUGGGCGCUAGGU